GGGGUUGUGGCUUAGCAGUAAAGCACUUGCCUAGUACGUGCAAGGCGCUGGGUUCGAUCCUCAGCUCCU
This 69-nucleotide transfer RNA is filed under the name Ictidomys tridecemlineatus (thirteen-lined ground squirrel). Its description in RNAcentral is "Spermophilus tridecemlineatus (thirteen-lined ground squirrel) tRNA". It matches the Rfam family "tRNA". Rfam says of the family: Transfer RNA (tRNA) molecules are approximately 80 nucleotides in length. Their secondary structure includes four short double-helical elements and three loops (D, anti-codon, and T loops). The record is from Rfam by way of RNAcentral. Lineage: Eukaryota; Metazoa; Chordata; Mammalia; Rodentia; Sciuridae.